GCUACAGUGCUACUGGCCCAUAAUCAGGCAACUGCAGAGUCUUAGGGGGUUAUCUAAUGUAGUCUUGGGGUGGCUGGAUAGACUUCCCAAAGAAGGUGAUGCCGAAGCUGAGGUCGGAAAUUACGAAGAUCAGCUAUCAAACUUGGAAAUCAUGUCUUAGAGAUCAAGGAGCCAAGAGAUGAGACAAGCCUGGGUUCCUAGGUGAUAGGGUGUGGCUGUGUCCCCACCCAAAUCUCGUCUUGAAUUGUAGCUCCCAUAAUCCCCACAUGUUGUGGAGGGACCCUGUGGAAGAUUGUGCCUGCAGCCUGGCCUGUUGCCCACAGCGGUCUACCUGCCACACUGGGAAAGAUCGAGCAGAGACAGAGAAGAAAAGGAGGCUCCAUUUUUCAGGCUGCUCUCCCGCAGGCUCAUGUUUUGUGUUCAUGCCAGGCAGAGAACACAAAAUGUUCCAAUAAAUAAGUAUCAAAGCAUCUACUUGUUUCCAAAGUUAUUUGGGUCAGCAUUUUCCUCCACCCACCACUUAAAACUGAUUUGUUUCAUACAUUUGAAAUGUAUGAAAAGCCAGAAAUCCAGGACCCACCCUGGCCUGCUCCCUUUUUCUCACCUACUGUGUUAAGGAUAAGUCAAUUGAGCUUCACUUCUCUAAUUGAAAUCACCGUGCUGAUGGAGUCUGUCUGUGGAAAUGAAAGGUGGCUACCAUAAUCUGUUGGGAGUUGAAUUAAUCCUCUGGGAGUGAGGCUGACCUAAUUACUCAGAAAUACUGGGCUUGCUUUCAUUCUGUGGAAUACAGCCAUGAGAAAGAGGCCAGCAUGCCAUUUCCUAAUCUUUUCUUGAAUUGCCUGAAACUCACCUAACAUGAAACUGAGAAGCCUUUUCAUUUGAAAGUGGUAUUUCUUAUGUUUUUUAUCUUUUUGCUUGAAAGUAUUCUUAAACUAAAGAAAGGAGAAACAGAAAAGGUGAAGAAGCCAAGAGGCUGGAGUUUCCUUUUGAAUGGAUAUUCAUCCAUGAAGCUGUUGAUUCUGUUUUUCUGUUCCUCCAGAUGUCUACACUUUUACCUCUGCUUGCCUGAUACAACCACCACCAGUCACCUCACAGAAUAACUCACUCCUUAAGAAUCUGAUCAGGAAUCAGCCUUCCCUGAUCACAAACACUGAGUUUAGAAGUCCCUCCACAGUGUCCCCCGUAACCCUGUGCUACCUCACUGCCUCAUAGUUUAGUGCCGUUUGUGUACAUGCCUAUCUUCGUCCAUGGAUCCAGAACAACUUGUAAAAAUGACUGUACUUAUCACCUUCAGUAUUCAAUGACUAAACUAUAAUUUUAACAUAUCUGGCAGAAUGAAUCACUUGGGGAUUUCUGCCAACACUACCAAUAUAUUACUCCUAAUUUGUAAUUAUUACUUAGCAUGGAUUAUAGUACCGGCUGUUGGAGAGCCAAUGUGGCAGACCCUAAGUGGAAUAAAAUGUCAGUAGCAGUCUAGGAGCAUAUAUUUAUUGGAAUAGAUCAUUCAUUCAUUUGUUCAUUAACUAAUUUGUUCAUUAAAUAAACAUUUAUUAAGCACU
This is a long non-coding RNA of Homo sapiens (human), 1559 nucleotides long. Ensembl annotates it as CCDC26 long non-coding RNA. Its record names the gene CCDC26. The record is from Ensembl. Lineage: Eukaryota; Metazoa; Chordata; Mammalia; Primates; Hominidae.